Molecule: unclassified non-coding RNA, 224 nt
Filed under: Hevea brasiliensis (rubber tree)
Lineage: Eukaryota; Viridiplantae; Streptophyta; Magnoliopsida; Malpighiales; Euphorbiaceae
Source: RNAcentral
CUGCACAUUAUGCCAAAUAAAAAAGAGUUUCAAGGUUCUAGAGACAUGGUUGUUUGAUAAUUUUCUGCCAGUUAAAAGUAACCCCUAACAUAUAUAUGGUACUUUACUUAAAUAAUAUAUUGCAUACCAAGAUAUUCUUACUAUGUCAAUUCACUAAACAGUAUAAGAAUAUAGAUGCAAUUAUUAAUGUGAAAAUCAGAUAACAAACCUCAAUAACUUCGCAC